Magnolia sinica is the source of this 5863-nucleotide long non-coding RNA. RefSeq lists it as uncharacterized. The record is from RefSeq and is a predicted model, not a curated record. NCBI's taxonomy places the organism in Eukaryota, Viridiplantae, Streptophyta, Magnoliopsida, Magnoliales, Magnoliaceae. The transcript is spliced from 2 exons.
GGUAGGUGGUGCCGCUAGACUAAGCAACAUAACAUUUUUUUUAAAAAAAUUAUUGGGUACAUCACAGUUAGUUCAGAAUCUUGGCCAACAACAACCCAGUUGCUGCCCCAGCUUGGCUUUGCCAUAGUCCUCUCUGGGAACCUCAUCCAGAUCCCAAUGAGGACCAUGAUACUAUGUCCUCUAUGAUGGUUUUGCCAUGUUCUCAGAAUCUCAGAACAUGUACUGCUCAUUAGGGGCCGUUAGUGCACCGAUACAGCCUGUGGUACCCAAGUUUGCAGGAGAGCCACUUCUAUUUAAAAGGAGAUAUCUUAGGAACCCACUGAUCAGUUGUGCCUAACCCAACCCAAGGUGUAGCAUCUUAAUCAAUCUAGGGCUUACCCAACUGAAAAUGGAUAUGUUGUCUCCCCUGAGAAAUAAUAACCAUGUUCGCUCUAUGGAAGGAUUUGGGGCAAGGGAGACAGUAAGAAAUGAUUACUUUUAACGUGUAAGCCCUUCCUGCUUUCACUUUGCCAGUCCUUGCAACCCCAUAUCCCAACAGCCUUCCUCUUUAACCGCAUACUGUGUAUCAUGAAUAUCCAAUCGGAAUCAGUAUUUGAAUUAUUUGCAUGAAACAAUGACACCCAAAUACAGACAUGGAUAUAGAGACAAUGCAGGCACGACUCAGCAGCUUUUGAAAAUUUCGGGUACAGCAAAUCCUUCCAAUGUACGGAAUUCUGUAAGGUUUUGAUUGGACAAAUCAAUAAUCAACCAACUAUUGUACGUGACAAUUCAUCAUAUGUAUUGGGGUUUAUUUAAAUAUUGAACCCAUGAAGAGUCUUGUUUUGGAACAGGUGUGUGUAGAGCAUGUAGACUAAGUUGGAUAAUGUUAGUGCAUCUCCUGUGUUAGGUGGCUCGCACGUAUGUGCGUGUAUGUUUUGGGCUCUUUUGUUUUCAAAAGGCUAAACCUAUCACAUAGGAUAAACUAUAGGGCUAUCAUGUAACAAGGAGAGACUAGUAGGACUUGGUUCCUACAAUGGGAUAGGGGAACCUAGACUUAUAAAUUAAAGACACUUGGCCGCACUCCAUCUGUACCUUUCUUUACCGGAGGGGAACUCGUAUUGAUAUGCUGCCAACUCUGCUAGUGUGGCCGGUUCGAGGUCAGGCUGCCUCUGCUUGCCUUCUUAUUGCCACCUUUUCCUCUAUACACCUAUCCCAUCGUAGAAUGUGUGGAGCGACAAUCAGAACGGUCCAUCUUGAAGACAAUAGGAUAAGGAAAAUGCCAUGUCUUCAAUUAGUUAUGGCCCAAGAUAUGUUUCCAAUCUUCGUAUCAAUUUAUGUUUUUCCAAAAGAUGUUAUUGUGUAUGAAUGCAUUUCACAAUCCAGGCUAAGAAAUCCUAACCGUUGAUUUAUUGUAUGAAAAUUAACAUGUGGUAUCAUAGUGUAGGUUUUGAGAUAACACAUAUGAAAUCCAUUAUCAAUGAAAAAUCGUACAAUCGUUUCGACCCAUUUCAUAGAAUAUAGAUCACAUAAUGAAAACUUCCAUGCACGCUUCUUCUAGAUUCCCAUUCUUCUAGAUUCCCAUUCAAGAACAUCGUUUUCACAUCCAUAUAAAUUAUUGAUGUUGAACUGAAAUUAUCAGUUGGAAUAAUCACGGGAGAAACAAUAUAGAUGUGAUCCAUGCUAUUAAAUCGGUGAAAACAAUUACAUAGUUUUCCAUUGAUCAUAGAUUUGCAUAUGUUUAAUCUCAACCUACGCUCUAAUACCACGUUCAAUUGAUCAUAGAUUUGCAUAUUAACCAAUGCUCCAAUACCACAUGUUAGCUUUCAUGAAAUCAAAUCAACAGUUAGAAUUCCUUAGUUAGACUUGUCUUACAAAUGCAUAUGCAAUAACAUCAUUUGAAAAAUCAUAAAUCGAUACAAAUAUCGCAAACAUAUCUCGAGCCAUAAUUAAUCAUAUAGAUGCACGCGGUUCCUUAUCCACCAACUUCAAGAUGAACAUCUCUAAUUAUCCCUCCACGCAUCUAUUCACGUGAACAGUCUUAGCUCGUCUUCUCACCAAUUCUCUUCCAAAUGUGUGCGCUUAUAAAUUAAUAGCCUUAUACAUUGUUUGAGCUUGGAUGGAAAUAGUUAAGACUCACUAAUUUAUAUAGCUAGGUUCUCUAUCGCAUCAUAGGAGCCAAGUCUCAUUGAGCUUUUACUUCCUUAUCACAUGUUAAUCUUUAUCUUUAUCUUACUUGAAUAGGUUUAGCCUUUUAAAAACAAAAGAUCUCAUGUUUUUCAUAACUUUCAAAAGUUAGACAUCGUGGACACGUUAACAGAGGUGGCAGUCUCACUUCGGAAUCUCACAUUCCAGAACUAGUGGCAAAUGUGUACAAUAUCCCAACCAUUCAUUUCAUGGACCCCACCGUGUAUUUUCUAUAACCCAAGAAUUAGUCCAAUUCUCAGUUGCGCAUACAUGUCUAGAGAUGGGCACUAGAGACGGGUGUGGAUUAGGUACUUCACUUGCCUGUUCGGAGCUUGGGACAGGCGGAGGCUCUGAGGAGACCCUUAGUUGCCCUCGGAGCCUCCACCUGUCCCGAGCUUGGAACAACGGGGGAAGGGAAACGGAUUGGCUACUCCCCCUGACACCAGCCCCAUGGCUGAUGGUCGGUGCUCUGUGGGCCCCACCAUGAUGUAUGUGUUUCAUCCAUUUCGUUCAUCCAUUUUUACAUAUCAUUUUAAGGCUUGAUUCCAAAAAUGAGAGGGAUAUAAAUCUCAGUAUCGGGGUACACAAGCUGUUCUACCAUUUCAGUAUCCUCAUUCCUUAGUUAAACCAUAUGUCAUCAAAUCUUUUCACAAUACAUCCACUCACAUCCUUUUGGGCCUUCCCAAUGCCCUUUUAGCGCCUUCAACUUGAACCAACUCAUUAUUCCAUACAGGUGCAAUUCUUAGUCUCUGUUGCUCUUCACCAAACCAUCCAAGUAUACGUCCUCUCUUAUUAUCUAUUAGUGCUACUCCCAAGUUUCCUCAGAUGUAUUCAUUUUGUAUCCUGGUACUUUUCUGUCAUCAAUCUUAAGUAAAUCCUCAUUUCUACUAAUCCCACAAUAGGCUUUCUCCUAAAGUUUCAUAGUAUAAGUUUAAUCCCACGAUAGUCACUCCCCCACAGUUUCAUGAUAUGACUUAAGUUUAGUCCCAUGAUACUCACUCUUACCCAAAGUUCCAUAGUAUGACUUAAUAAGUUCAAUCCCACAAUAGUUAGUGGAGCUUUGUACGUCUCCUUUAUUCUUGUAGAUAUGUACAGCAAUACUUUCCAUCCAUUCAUCUUGCAUUUUUUUUCCAUCAUACAAUUUUGUUAAACAAAUUUGUCAACCAAAAUAAACCAAUAUCUCAUGCACUUCCAAACCUCUACUGGUUUACUGUCUAGUCUUAGUGCCUUUCCUAUUUAUGUCUAUCUCAAGGUUCUUUCACUUCAAAUAUCAUAAUCCCUCGAAGGUAUCUAUGGCCUCUAACCUCAUUUGAGUCAUGAUUCCUUUUAUCUCUGAGCUCUCAAAGUGGUCAUCAUUUAACAAGUUCUGAAAAUAACUUCUCCACCUUUUCAGUGAUCUCGUUGUCCCUAGUUAAUACCCCCAGUCAUUGCUCUCCAUGCAUCUACAUGAUCCAGGUCUCUACCCUUCCCCUCUCUCGUUUUGCAAGUUUGAAGACAUUUUUUCUCACCUUCUCUUCUACCCCAAUCUAUUGUAUAGAUCAUUGUAUACCUUAAGUUUAUAGAAGGCAAGGAAUAAUUGAUGCUUCUGAAAGCAAAGUGGAAGGGCAUCAAAGGGCAUAGUUAGAUGUAAUGGGUUGGCCCUCAAGCACAAAGGCCCUCAAUGAGUGGAACCUUUCUUCUUUGCAUUAAUCAUCCUCAGUGUAAUUUGCCUGAGAUUUCCAUCUUUGGCUUUUCUUUUUCAAAUAAAAUAUUGUUACCUUUCAAAAAAUUUAAAAAAAAUAAAAUAUGCCUCAUGUUUAGCCUCACUGCUUUCUUAGCAUUCUUUUUGGUGCUUAUAAAUUAUUCUAAAGUUUCCUCACUUCUAGCCCCUUGCUAGGUCUUGAAACACAUUCGUUUCUCACUAAAUAGCCUUUUGGAUCUCAUUAUUCCACCACCAAGUUUCCUUAUACGAGUGGCUUUCCCAACUAAAUAUUCCUCGAACAUUUCUCAACACGUUCCCCAGCGCUUCACCAUUCCAUUGCACAUAAGAUAAAGUCAUGUCUCGACAUUCCACUUUUCCAUUAAUUUAUACUAAAAACACUGUUCCCCGCUUUUAAAUUCCACCACAUCGGCCUUAGAUACCUAUUAAUUUCAGUCCCUCCCUUCCAUCUCUCAAUGUAAGCAUUGCUAACCGUCAACUUAUGUAGUUAAACUCUCUCUCGGUAUUACCUUGCAGUCUUUACAUUUUGAUUGCUCAUUUCGAAGCAGAAAAAAGUCCAUCUGGCUUGUAUAUGAUCCACUUUUGAAGGUUAUUAAACAUUCAUCUCUCUUUUGAAACGACGCAUUUGCUAGAGCUAGGUUGUAUGCCAUAGCAAAAUCAAGGAUGGUUUCCCCCAUCACAUUUAUUGUGCCAAUACCAUGGCCUCCAUGUAUCCUUUCAUAUUUUCUAUUAUCUUUUCCUACAUUAUUGGUCAAGUCUUUGAGGUGGUGAGAACGGUUAUGGAGCCUUUGAUAGGAAUGAUUGGCAAAAUAGGAUUCAUAAAUCUAAAUCCCAAGUGGCCAGAAAAAUGCUAUGGUGAUGAUUGAUGACAGUGUUGCUGUUGAUGAGGAUGAUCAUCAUGGAGGAAAUGGCCAGUAAUGUAGGUAGGACAUUUCUAAUGAUGUCCAACCCCUAGAUGAAAUGCAAUUCCUCGCAUUUCAUUUAAGACUGGAAACAAUUUGAGUAGCUAUUUUGGGGCUAGCCCCUCAUUAUUGAUGGGGUGUAGCUAGCAUCAUGUAGGUUACUUUUCACAUUAUUGGGAGAUAUUAUCCUUGAUAUUUGUAUUAGAUAAAUAGAUAAUACAUGCAUAUGCACGCACGGAGAUGAUUCAUGUUUGUGUAGACAUCCAUGCAUAAAUUGACAAACAAAACGAGGAUGCUUGGUUGAUUCUUCAUCCUUGUUACCUCAUAUUACUGUAUGGUUUGUGCUUUCUGUUGUGAAAAUUUUCUUGACUCUGACAUCGACAUCGAUGGAGCUUAUUUUCGCACCACAUUUCCUCACCUGUUCAUGAUGACCUAUGGUCACCUCAAGCCACAGAAGGCAUCUCAGAGCUAUGUUCCAAGAAUAUUUGGCUUCAAGAUUCACAAGCCUUGAAAGGUUUGCGUUGGUUAGUCCACCACAUGUCAUUGGGUAAGAAUUCACAAAAGUUUCAAUUAUUAUGCUUGCUUCUAUUGAUGAGGAGCAAUUCCUUGUCUUAUGAGUUCUACCCUGGCACACAAGUUCAGAAGAGGCUGGAAAAUGCAACCACGCCCCUUAAAUAUUUUUUGGAAAUAUUUGGAAAGCGAAUUGAUUACUUGUCCAGCUGUAGCUUCUUUUUUAAUUUAUCUGUAUUCACUAUUUACAGAGCCUUGUGAGCUUUCAAUGGUUGAGAAUUCAGAGCGCCAUGCAUUGUGGGGUUGUUGGUUGGGUUUCCUUCUGAAUAUUUUAUUUCACAUGUUUGUGUACCCAAUAUCCACGGUAAUCCCCAACAUUUGCAUUUGCCCAGAUUUUUAAUUUGCCUGUUUUCCUUAUUUUCUUGUAAAAUGGAUCUGUACCACGAAACUGAAAUACUGUAGAUGGUCUUCAGAGUUGCUUUAUUUCCUUUUUGGAUGCCCAUGUUCCUGAUUUUCUUGUAAAAUCUCCAUGCACAUGCAAUGUGCACUUUGGAGCUGCUUUAUGGUAGACAUGCCUCAGAUUGGGAGA